Molecule: ribosomal RNA, 428 nt
Filed under: Actinomycetes bacterium
Lineage: Bacteria; Bacillati; Actinomycetota; Actinomycetes
Description: Actinobacteria bacterium partial 16S ribosomal RNA
Rfam family: Bacterial small subunit ribosomal RNA
Source: RNAcentral
UGGGGAAUCUUGCGCAAUGGGCGAAAGCCUGACGCAGCGACGCCGCGUGAGGGAAGAAGGCCUUCGGGUUGUAAACCUCUUUCAGGAGGGACGAAGCCACUCGGGUUAAUACCCCAGAGGGUGACGGUACCUCCAGAAGAAGCCCCGGCUAACUACGUGCCAGCAGCCGCGGUAAUACGUAGGGGGCAAGCGUUGUCCGGAAUUAUUGGGCGUAAAGAGCGUGUAGGCGGCCAGGUAGGUCCGUUGUGAAAACUUGAGGCUCAACUUCGAGAUGUCGACGGAAACCAUCUGGCUAGAGUCCGGAAGAGGAGAGUGGAAUUCCUGGUGUAGCGGUGAAAUGCGCAGAUAUCAGGAGGAACACCCGUGGCGAAAGCGGCUCUCUGGGACGGUACUGACGCUGAGACGCGAAAGCGUGGGGAGCGAACAGG